UAGGGAAUCUUCGGCAAUGGACGGAAGUCUGUCCGAGCAACGCCGCGUGAGUGAAGAAGGUUUUCGGAUCGUAAAGCUCUGUUGUAAGAGAAGAACGAGUGUGAGAGUGGAAAGUUCACACUGUGACGGUAUCUUACCAGAAAGGGACGGCUAACUACGUGCCAGCAGCCGCGGUAAUACGUAGGUCCCGAGCGUUGUCCGGAUUUAUUGGGCGUAAAGCGAGCGCAGGCGGUUAGAUAAGUCUGAAGUUAAAGGCUGUGGCUUAACCAUAGUACGCUUUGGAAACUGUUUAACUUGAGUGCAAGAGGGGAGAGUGGAAUUCCAUGUGUAGCGGUGAAAUGCGUAGAUAUAUGGAGGAACACCGGUGGCGAAAGCGGCUCUCUGGCUUGUAACUGACGCUGAGGCUCGAAAGCGUGGGGAGCAAACAGGAUUAGAUACCCUGGUAGUCCACGCCGUAAACGAUGAGUGCUAGGUGUUAGACCCUUUCCGGGGUUUAGUGCCGUAGCUAACGCAUUAAGCACUCCGCCUGGGGGAGUACGACCGCAAGGUUG
Molecule: ribosomal RNA, 551 nt
Filed under: uncultured bacterium
Lineage: Bacteria
Description: bacterial SSU rRNA
Rfam family: Bacterial small subunit ribosomal RNA
Source: RNAcentral